This 148-nucleotide unclassified non-coding RNA is filed under the name soil metagenome. RNAcentral describes it as "partial internal transcribed spacer 1". The record is from RNAcentral.
CACGAAGAGGCCUCCAUCGGUCUUUCAACCUUGCCUAUCGUACCCUUUUUGUUGUUCCCUCGGCGGGGUAAAGCCCGCCGGCGGGAAGCUCGAAAAACCCUUUGCAAUCAGCAUCCAAAAACUCUGAUUACAAAACCUUAAAUCGUUG